This 197-nucleotide non-coding RNA is filed under the name Hafnia alvei. RNAcentral describes it as "GcvB RNA". It matches the Rfam family "GcvB RNA". Rfam says of the family: The gcvB gene encodes a small untranslated RNA involved in expression of the dipeptide and oligopeptide transport systems in Escherichia coli. Included several unknown homologues in alignment (Bateman A pers obs). Lineage: Bacteria; Pseudomonadati; Pseudomonadota; Gammaproteobacteria; Enterobacterales; Hafniaceae. The record is from RNAcentral.
CUUCCCGAGCCGGAACGAAAAAGUGUUUGUGGAUUUGGUUCCUGAAUACUUUUGGCUUUGUGGUUGUGAUGUUGUGUUUGCAAGUUGUCUGACGAUUUCAGACAUAGUAGCUAGGCUACUGUUUUUUUCACUUCCUGUACAUUUACCCUGUCUGUCCAUAGUGAUUAGUAGCACCGCAAUUUGCGGUGCUUUUUUUU